UUUUUAAGCAUGUAGGAAGAAUGAGUAGGCAAAUCCGCUCAUUCAUAUUCUGAGAUGUGAUGACGAUCUUAUAUUCGUAUAAGAGAAGUAGUUGAUGCUAAGCUUCCAGGAAAAUCCUCUAAGUGUUGAAGAUCAUCGAACCGUACCGCAAUCCGACACAGGUGGACAAGUUGAGAAUACUGAGGCGCUUGAGAGAACUCGGGUGAAGGAACUAGGCAAAUUGACACCGUAACUUCGGGAGAAGGUGUGCCUCUAUUAGGUGAAGGCCCUGCGGCUGGAGCUGAAGGAGGUUGCAAAAAAUCGGUGGCUGCGACUGUUUAUUAAAAACACAGCACUCUGCAAACUCGAAAGGGGAAGUAUAGGGUGUGACGCCUGCCCGGUGCCGGAAGGUUAAGUGAUGGGGUUAGCGCAAGCGAAGCUCUUGAUCGAAGCCCCGGUAAACGGCGGCCGUAACGAUAACGGUCCUAAGGUAGCGAAAUUCCUUGUCGGGUAAGUUCCGACCUGCACGAAAGGCGUAACGAUAGCCACACUGUCUCCACCCGAGACUCAGUGAAGUUGAAUUUGCUGUGAAGAUGCAGUGUACCCGCGGCAAGACGGAAAGACCCCGUGCACCUUUACUAUAGCUUUGCACUGGACUUUGAGCGUUUCUGUUAGGACGUGGGAGGCUAUGAAACUUGGGCGCUAGCUCAGGUGGAGCCAACCUUGAAAUACCACCCUGAAAUGCUUGGGGCUCUAACUUAAUCUCGUAAUCCGGGAUGAGGACAGUGCAUGGUGGGUAGUUUGACUGGGGCGGUCUCCUCCCAAAGAGUAACGGAGGAGUACGAAGGUACACUCAGCGCGGUCGGACAUCGCGCAAUGCCUAUAAGAGGAAAAGUGUGCUUGACUGCGAGACUGACAGGUCGAGCAGGUACGAAAGUAGGUUCUAGUGAUCCGGUGGUUCUGUAUGGAAGGGCCAUCGCUCAACGGAUAAAAGGUACGCCGGGGAUAACAGGCUGAUACCGCCCAAGAGUUCAUAUCGACGGCGGUGUUUGGCACCUCGAUGUCGGCUCAUCACAUCCUGGGGCUGAAGCCGGUCCCAAGGGUAUGGCUGUUCGCCAUUUAAAGUGGUACGCGAGCUGGGUUUAGAACGUCGUGAGACAGUUCGGUCCCUAUCUGCCGUGGGCGUUUGAGAUUUGAGGGGAGUUGCUCCUAGUACGAGAGGACCGGAGUGAACGUACCUCUGGUGUUCCGGUUGUCACGCCAGUGGCAUUGCCGGGUAGCGGUACGGAAAAGAUAACCGCUGAAAGCAUCUAAGCGGGAAGCUUGCCCCAAGAUGAGAUCUCACGAGUCUUAUGACUCCUGUAGGUCCGUUGGAGACCACAACGUUGAUAGGCUGGGUGUGAAAGCACAGUAAUGUGUGUAGCUAACCAGUACUAAUUGACCGUGCGACUUGACCAU
Molecule: ribosomal RNA, 1437 nt
Filed under: metagenome
Description: bacterial LSU rRNA
Rfam family: Bacterial large subunit ribosomal RNA
Source: RNAcentral